UACGUAGGGGGCGAGCGUUGUCCGGAAUUAUUGGGCGUAAAGGGCUCGUAGGCGGUUUGUCGCGUCGGGAGUGAAAACCCAGGGCUUAACCCUGGGCUGGCUUCCGAUACGGGCAGACUUGAGUUCGGUAGGGGAGACUGGAAUUCCUGGUGUAGCGGUGAAAUGCGCAGAUAUCAGGAGGAACACCGGUGGCGAAGGCGGGUCUCUGGGCCGAUACUGACGCUGAGGAGCGAAAGCGUGGGGAGCGAACAGG
This 253-nucleotide ribosomal RNA is filed under the name uncultured bacterium. RNAcentral describes it as "partial 16S ribosomal RNA". It matches the Rfam family "Bacterial small subunit ribosomal RNA", at positions 524 to 776 of the family's 1533-position model. The record is from RNAcentral.